Molecule: long non-coding RNA, 289 nt
Organism: Sphaeramia orbicularis (orbiculate cardinalfish)
Lineage: Eukaryota; Metazoa; Chordata; Actinopteri; Kurtiformes; Apogonidae
Exons: 3
Source: RefSeq, a predicted model, not a curated record
CGGUGGUUCCGGUCCUGCAGCUCCGCUUCAGAACCAGUCUGUGCUGACUUCAGUCCGUGGAGGUCCAGGAAAAGUGCACUUUACCGCAGUUCUACGGAGGACAAACCGGUUAACGGAAUGAGCCGAAGUGUCGAAGACAUCCAGGGGUCCGGUGGUUCCGGUGGUUCCGGUGGGUCCGUCCGCCCUCCGCAGCUGCCUCCAGAUCAUGUGCUCAGCUCCGGAGCCGUUUUCUUCCCCGGUGCUUUGAUCAGCAUGGCUUCCCUCUGAUCGUGUUCCCAGUGGACGGACA